Ananas comosus (pineapple) is the source of this 718-nucleotide long non-coding RNA. RefSeq lists it as uncharacterized. The record is from RefSeq and is a predicted model, not a curated record. The transcript is spliced from 3 exons. NCBI's taxonomy places the organism in Eukaryota, Viridiplantae, Streptophyta, Magnoliopsida, Poales, Bromeliaceae.
GGUUUAUCUAGAUAGAUCUAUGCAUAAUUCCAACCACCCCAACAUCACAAUCUCCUCAGUUUCAGUUUCUUUCCCAUCUCCUCCUCUCGGCCUUCUUUCCCCCUAAACCUUGUGAGCACUUUGUCUCUCUUCCCCUCCCCCCCCUGACACUAAAAAAAAAGAAGAAAAAGAAACAAAAAAACAAAAAACAAACAACUUGAAGAUGAGCGCUCCCAAAUACGCUUAUCCCUACCCUGCUCAAGGUUACUAUCAAGGCCCACCUGUGAUGGCUCCGCCGCAAUACGCAGCUCCACCGCCGAGGAGGAACGCCGGGUUUCUUGAAGGAUGCCUCGCUGCUCUCUGCUGCUGCUGCCUUCUUGAUGAGUGCUGCUGCGAUCCGACAGUCAUAUUUCUAAACUGAUGGAGGCUGAAGAAGAAAUUACUGAAGCCUCUGUAGUAUAAGCUAAUAUGUGAUCUUUAAAUUAUGUGGCUUUUCCCCCUUUUUAAGUUUUCCUUUUUUAUGUAUGUAUGAUUAUGGUUCUGAAUAUUAUUAAGUCGGAUCUUUUAGUUGAAGUGAUUCUCUUCUGUAUAAUAGCUCGGUGGUGAGUGGUGUAACCUGCCUUAAUUUUGAUCGACUUUGAUAUCCGAUUGCUUGUUAAUUUAUAUAUUGUAAUUUAUACUAUGGUUGUUUCUGUACGUAUUGUUGCGUUAAGUAUAUUAUAAUGAAUCGGUUAUGAUA